CUACCGUGCAGCUAUAAGUUUCUGUGUCCAACUUUGAUCAUCUGUCUUAUUUAAAAUUUUUAUGAUUAGUAUUUUUAUUGUUACUAGAUGAUAAAACAUGAAUAAUACUUUAUACGUAACUUAUAUUUUUUAAUUUUUUUAAAAAAUUUUAACGGACGAUUAAAGUUAGACAUGGAAACUCGUGGCUGCGCUUAAA
Oryza punctata is the source of this 196-nucleotide non-coding RNA. Lineage: Eukaryota; Viridiplantae; Streptophyta; Magnoliopsida; Poales; Poaceae. The record is from Rfam.